This 301-nucleotide ribosomal RNA is filed under the name uncultured bacterium. RNAcentral's name for it is "partial 16S ribosomal RNA". It matches the Rfam family "Bacterial small subunit ribosomal RNA", at positions 509 to 809 of the family's 1533-position model. The record is from RNAcentral.
CAGUCGCCGCGUUAAUACAGAGGGUGCGAGCGUUAAUCGGAUUUACUGGGCGUAAAGCGUGCGUAGGCGGCUUUUUAAGUCGGAUGUGAAAUCCCUGAGCUUAACUUAGGAAUUGCAUUCGAUACUGGGAAGCUAGAGUAUGGGAGAGGAUGGUAGAAUUCCAGGUGUAGCGGUGAAAUGCGUAGAGAUCUGGAGGAAUACCGAUGGCGAAGGCAGCCAUCUGGCCUAAUACUGACGCUGAGGUACGAAAGCAUGGGGAGCAAACAGGAUUAGAUACCCCAGUAGUCCCUGUCUCUUAUAU